Molecule: ribosomal RNA, 644 nt
Filed under: uncultured bacterium
Lineage: Bacteria
Description: bacterial SSU rRNA
Rfam family: Bacterial small subunit ribosomal RNA
Source: RNAcentral
AGAGUUUGAUCCUGGCUCAGGACGAACGCUGGCGGUGUGCUUCACACAUGCAAGUCGAACGGAGUAGCAAUACUUAGUGGCGGACGGGUGAGUAACGCGUGGGAAUCUGCCUUUAGAUGGGGGAUAACGAGCCGAAAGGUUCGCUAAUACCGCAUAUGCCGCAAGGUGAAAGGAGUAAUCCGUCUAAAGAUGAGCCCGCGUCCGAUUAGCUAGUUGGUGGGGUAAAGGCCUACCAAGGCGACGAUCGGUAGCUGGUCUGAGAGGAUGAUCAGCCACAAUGGGACUGAGACACGGCCCAUACUCCUACGGGAGGCAGCAGUGGGGAAUUUUACGCAAUGGGGGAAACCCUGACGUAGCGACACCGCGUGAGCGAAGAAGCCCCUUGGGGUGUAAAGCUCUGUCAGCUGGAACGAAACAAAUGACGGUACCAGCAGAGGAAGCAUCGGCUAACUACGUGCCAGCAGCCGCGGUAAGACGUAGGAUGCGAGCGUUGUCCGGAUUUAUUGGGCGUAAAGAGUUCGUAGGUGGUUUGUUAAGUUUGAUGUUAAAGAUCGGGGCUCAACCUCGGGACAGCAUUGAAUACUGGCAGACUUGAGUAUGGUAGAGGCUAGUGGAAUUCCCAGUGUAGCGGUGAAAUGCGUAGA